Molecule: unclassified non-coding RNA, 428 nt
Filed under: fungal sp.
Lineage: Eukaryota; Fungi
Description: partial internal transcribed spacer region
Rfam family: Eukaryotic small subunit ribosomal RNA (bases 1-46)
Source: RNAcentral
AAGUCGUAACAAGGUAACCGUAGGUGAACCUGCGGUUGGAUCAUUAAAAAAUAAAACUUCAUUGCCCAAAAUCAAUUGCCAACUGAGGAUCUUUAAUUGGAUGGUUGAUGACCCUUAGGUUGUCCCAUGGUUGAUGACCCACCGGUUGUCCCAUGGUUGAUGUAAUCAGUCCUAAGUUGUCCCACUUUUUAAAUCGAAGCCUCUAAAGGAACCACAAUUGAUUUUGUGUGCCAAUGUCGACAACUUGUGAACCGUUUCGUCUCUGGCGAGUUGGGGAGCCUAAAAAGCUACUUGUCAGCAGUGCACUUGUGCAUUGCCGUGGACAAGCUCGCCACCCUUUUUUUUUAACUUUAAUUUUGUUACUUUGAUGUCUGACAUUUAUUUUUAUAAUACAAAAACAACUUUUGGCAACGGAUCUCUUGGCUCUC